GGGGGUGCAGCUCAGUGGUAGAGCACUUGUGUAGCAUGCACGAGGCCCUGAGUUCCAUCCUCAGCACCCCAA
Molecule: transfer RNA, 72 nt
Filed under: Marmota marmota marmota (Alpine marmot)
Lineage: Eukaryota; Metazoa; Chordata; Mammalia; Rodentia; Sciuridae
Also listed under: 1 other name
Rfam family: tRNA
About the family: Transfer RNA (tRNA) molecules are approximately 80 nucleotides in length. Their secondary structure includes four short double-helical elements and three loops (D, anti-codon, and T loops).
Source: Rfam by way of RNAcentral